GCUACUCCUGUUUCCCACCCACUUUAUCUUCCUUAAGCUUACCAUGAUUUAAUGGGGGAGAGAGGGCCCUUUUCCAAUGAGUAAAAAAAGGGGGGGAGGCUUUUAGAGCCACUGGACUACUAGCUGGGUGGGAAGAUUGAAUGGAUGGGCAAAGGGUGGGUGGGUAGGAAGCGAAACUCAUUUCCAAUAACCUAAUUCCACCCACCCACCCCCCUUCAAUAGACACACACACACAGCAUUUUUCCCUUUUAAAACGCCGUGUGGGGUAACUUUAACGAGCUUGUGUGUAUUGACAUUUACUACAUGUUUUAUGAAGGGGGAAGCUUUCAGGGCAGGCAGCGUUAAGGCAAGAAGAUUCCUCCCUCCUCAUCUCUUCUUUCCCCUCCUGCGGCGGACUUGUCCCUUUGUGGCUUGCAAAUGGGCGCUUUCAAUUAAAAAAAAGAAACCUAGAGCAAGAGGAGGAGGAGGAAGGGAGAGAGAGAGAGAGAGAGAGAGAGAAAUGGCAGACAUUCCAGGGCGAGCCAUUGGUUUUGUUCUCCUCGCUGACGGCCUUUGUCCUGAACUCCCUUACCCCCCUCUGUUACCACAGUAAUGAGAAAGUAUGGCCACCCCGGUCUUAUUACCAUAUCAAUCUCCUCUUGCCCUGCCUGAGUCAGCCGAAGAGGGGGAAAGGGGGGCAUAGAGGCUGCGAGGAGGCGGGAAAGGGAGAGGGGAGCACCCUCCAUAAUUUAGGGGGCAUCCGGCAUCACUUUUGCUUUGACACCAAACCUAGCGCUCUCUCUUUCCUCCUAUGUCCCACCCCCGCUUACUUCCUAAGAAAGGCCCCCUCUCCUUCCUUCCUUCCUUCCUUUUUAUUUAUUUAUUUAUCUAUUUAUUUCCUCCUCCUCCCUCCGCCCAGAGCCCUUGGCAAGGAUGGAGCGCAGGUAAAGCUCCCCUUUGAUGCCAUUCGCGGCUGCUCAUUGGCUGGCUGGCGGGCCGGCGGUGCCUGCCACUGGCCGCUUUGUUCUCUCGGACGGAACGUUCCCCUGCCGGCCGCGCGGCUCUUGAGCGGCAGCAGCAGCAGCCGCAGCUCCUACUAUGUGAAAGGGAAAGAGAGACAGAGACAGGCAGAGAGAGAGAUAGAAGCACCGCGCCGGAGAGAGUUGCGAGGAGAAGGAAUGACAGAAAGAGCUCGUUACUGCAGGCUGCAAAAUAACAGCGGGGAGGAAGGGAGGGAGGAAGAGCGCGCCAGAGAGCGGCCCCACUCCCUCUCCCUGCCAGAGUGCCCGGCAGAAGCGGCGGCAGCGCAAGGGCAGGUGGAGAGGAGGGGGGGGGUCGCACUCCCUUCUUCCCCUCAGCAGCAGAAGACAAGGCGGCGGAGGCGGCGGCAGCAACCGGGGCUGGCCGCGAAGGCGCUCAAGGGAAUUGUUUCUCAUGGAUCAAUACCAUGUAAAAUUCACUCAGGAGCCAUAUACAACAAUACUUAUGGGAAAUACACAUAUAUAUGGGAGCAGAAUAGCGGAUAGAGAUUUUGCAAGUAACUCUGGCUUUGCUGGCUGUGGGAAUACUG
Molecule: long non-coding RNA, 1549 nt
Organism: Podarcis muralis (Common wall lizard)
Lineage: Eukaryota; Metazoa; Chordata; Lepidosauria; Squamata; Lacertidae
Source: Ensembl